RNAcentral lists this ribosomal RNA (2167 nucleotides) under Campylobacter jejuni. RNAcentral describes it as "partial 23S ribosomal RNA". It matches the Rfam family "Bacterial large subunit ribosomal RNA", at positions 1 to 2020 of the family's 2925-position model. The record is from RNAcentral. Lineage: Bacteria; Pseudomonadati; Campylobacterota; Epsilonproteobacteria; Campylobacterales; Campylobacteraceae.
AAAAAAGGUAAGCUACUAAGAGCGAAUGGUGGAUGCCUUGACUGGUAAAGGCGAUGAAGGACGUACUAGACUGCGAUAAGCUACGGGGAGCUGUCAAGAAGCUUUGAUCCGUAGAUUUCCGAAUGGGGCAACCCAAUGUAUAGAGAUAUACAUUACCUAUAUAGGAGCGAACGAGGGGAAUUGAAACAUCUUAGUACCCUCAGGAAAAGAAAUCAAUAGAGAUUGCGUCAGUAGCGGCGAGCGAAAGCGCAAGAGGGCAAACCCAGUGCUUGCACUGGGGGUUGUAGGACUGCAAUGUGCAAGAGCUGAGUUUAGCAGAACAUUCUGGAAAGUAUAGCCAUAGAGGGUGAUAGUCCCGUAUGCGAAAAACAAAGCUUAGCUAGCAGUAUCCUGAGUAGGGCGGGACACGAGGAAUCCUGUCUGAAUCCGGGUCGACCACGAUCCAACCCUAAAUACUAAUACCAGAUCGAUAGUGCACAAGUACCGUGAGGGAAAGGUGAAAAGAACUGAGGUGAUCAGAGUGAAAUAGAACCUGAAACCAUUUGCUUACAAUCAUUCAGAGCACUAUGUAGCAAUACAGUGUGAUGGACUGCCUUUUGCAUAAUGAGCCUGCGAGUUGUGGUGUCUGGCAAGGUUAAGCAAACGCGAAGCCGUAGCGAAAGCGAGUCUGAAUAGGGCGCUUAGUCAGAUGCUGCAGACCCGAAACGAAGUGAUCUAUCCAUGAGCAAGUUGAAGCUAGUGUAAGAACUAGUGGAGGACUGAACCCAUAGGCGUUGAAAAGCCCCGGGAUGACUUGUGGAUAGGGGUGAAAGGCCAAUCAAACUUCGUGAUAGCUGGUUCUCUCCGAAAUAUAUUUAGGUAUAGCGUUGUGUCGUAAUAUAAGGGGGUAGAGCACUGAAUGGGCUAGGGCAUACACCAAUGUACCAAACCCUAUCAAACUCCGAAUACCUUAUAUGUAAUCACAGCAGUCAGGCGGCGAGUGAUAAAAUCCGUCGUCGAGAGGGAAACAACCCAGACUACCAGCUAAGGUCCCUAAAUCUUACUUAAGUGGAAAACGAUGUGAAGUUACUUAAACAACCAGGAGGUUGGCUUAGAAGCAGCCAUCCUUUAAAGAAAGCGUAAUAGCUCACUGGUCUAGUGAUUUUGCGCGGAAAAUAUAACGGGGCUAAAGUAAGUACCGAAGCUGUAGACUUGCACACAACUUAGAUUAUUUAAGUUUAGAAUAUGAGAAACUAAGUUAUGUUUAGUUAUAUUUUUACUGAUUUUUAUAGAGUAAAGAUAGAAAUAAAACUUAGUAAAAUCAGUAAAAAUAUUCUUAGGCUAAAGUUAAGUAGUUUAAGUUGUGUGCAAGUGGUAGGAGAGCGUUCUAUUUGCGUCGAAGGUAUACCGGUAAGGAGUGCUGGAGCGAAUAGAAGUGAGCAUGCAGGCAUGAGUAGCGAUAAUUAAUGUGAGAAUCAUUAACGCCGUAAACCCAAGGUUUCCUACGCGAUGCUCGUCAUCGUAGGGUUAGUCGGGUCCUAAGUCGAGUCCGAAAGGGGUAGACGAUGGCAAAUUGGUUAAUAUUCCAAUACCAACAUUAGUGUGCGAUGGAAGGACGCUUAGGGCUAAGGGGGCUAGCGGAUGGAAGUGCUAGUCUAAGGUCGUAGGAGGUUAUACAGGCAAAUCCGUAUAACAAUACUCCGAGAACUGAAAGGCUUUUUGAAGUCUUCGGAUGGAUAGAAGAACCCCUGAUGCCGUCGAGCCAAGAAAAGUUUCUAAGUUUAGCUAAUGUUGCCCGUACCGUAAACCGACACAGGUGGGUGGGAUGAGUAUUCUAAGGCGCGUGGAAGAACUCUCUUUAAGGAACUCUGCAAAAUAGCACCGUAUCUUCGGUAUAAGGUGUGGUUAGCUUCGUACUAGGAUUUACUCCGAAAGCGAAGAAACUUACAACAAAGAGUCCCUCCCGACUGUUUACCAAAAACACAGCACUCUGCUAACUCGUAAGAGGAUGUAUAGGGUGUGACGCCUGCCCGGUGCUCGAAGGUUAAUUGAUGGGGUUAGCAUUAGCGAAGCUCUUGAUCGAAGCCCGAGUAAACGGCGGCCGUAACUAUAACGGUCCUAAGGUAGCGAAAUUCCUUGUCGGUUAAAUACCGACCUGCAUGAAUGGCGUAACGAGAUGGGAGCUGUC